This is a long non-coding RNA of Armigeres subalbatus, 688 nucleotides long. RefSeq lists it as uncharacterized. NCBI's taxonomy places the organism in Eukaryota, Metazoa, Arthropoda, Insecta, Diptera, Culicidae. The transcript has 3 exons. The record is from RefSeq and is a predicted model, not a curated record.
GUGGUUUAUUUUCUCUUAAAUCUAGAAUUAGAAUGGCCAAGAGACAUGUGCAAUCAAACAAAGCAUCAUUGUAAAUAUCUAAAAUGAAAAAAGUACAAAAAUAUGUAAACAAUAAUUGGCCUAGAAAACGAAACACAAUUAUCGGUGAAACAAACAGAAAAACAUAGAAAAAGGUCCACGCAAAGGGCCUUUUUCUUUCCGUCGUUUUUCCUAGGGCCCGGUGAAUUCCGACAGGCCAGAAGUUCAACGAGUCGGCCCCGAGAAGAUCCGAGGCCAAGCCAACCACAAUCGCCAUCUUGUUCGUCCGGCGUGUGGAAAUAGGCGUCGCUCCUCGUGGCGUGAAUCCAAAUUAGCCAACAGCGGCCAAGGGGCAAACCAUACCGACCAUCGUCGGCAAUUUUCCUGAAUCAUCCAGUCAACCCGUUGACAAAUGCUGGCAACUGAUCCGCAUCAACAGACCGACCUUCCGACCAUCGCAAGAUGCAGCAUCGAAUUCGUAAUUAAACCCUCGUUGGCGACUGCCAUCUUGACACGAUGGAUUCUGUCUGGCAAUUACCGAGCAUCGCCCAUCUCACGACAUCCGCUGGCUGGUCAAUGUCGUCCGUCAACACCUACCACUUCCAAGGAUCCGGAUCUGUACCACCAAAAUGCAUGCAUGCAAUACAGCUAAGUACCCACCUCAUGUGAC